GAGGCUAAAAUGCUUGAAUAAUUAGUGCUUGAAAAUAAGUUUCUAAAUCUACAGAAGGUUCAACAUGGUAGAUUUCAGCGACAGAAGUGCUUUGAAUGUACAAAAAACUAAACUGAUAAAAAUUAGGGAAUCUCACAAGUCAUAUCUGCAUUGGAUGAUAUCAUAUCCUGAUAUGCGUUCCACACAAUAUUGGCAUCUUGGACAAUGUGACCAUUUAGUUUUUUUUUCAUUACAGAACAGAAGAGAACAUCGUUUCUUUUUGCGACCGUACUCCUCGCUUCAUUGCAACUAUAUCAAGCAUGCCAUCGACAUUCACAAUUGAAACAGAAUAUUCCCUUCCAAAUUGGACAAAUAGCGUCAGUUUCUUCUUAAUGGACCUAACAUAUUUAUAUAUGUCAAUAUGCAGUCUACAAUAGUUUGCAAACUAAAUUAAAUUCUGCAUUUGGAAUUCAAAUUUGAACUCCUGCAACAACUGAAAAGAGUCCAGACCAACAGCCAAAAAAUAAUGCAAUGGGCCAUCUUAUCAACAAAAAACUCAAAUAGGCCCACAAGAAAAAUUACUAACAAUAUCAAAAUAACAAAUAAAAUCUUACCAUUAAAGUAUCACGUCAACUACUAAAAUCUUAACAAACAAACCUAUGAACCGACCUUAAGAGUUUAAUUGCCUUUAAAAAACAACUAAAUAAAGAAACAUAAUAAUAGUAAACUCUAGCUAAUAACACCACGACACUUAGCAUUAUAAAUACAUGACAUGCGUACAACUAAACCCUAUUCUAUAUUCUACAUACUUCAAUCUCCUUCCUUCUGCUUCUACUUCAGAGAAAAACAAAGGUAUGUCAAUUUAUUAAUGUCUAAACUAAUUAGCUUAUAAAAGUAUGCAGGUACACUUUUCUAAUGGUUUGCUUUUAAUUAUUCCAGCUAUUUACUGUUUGAAUUUAAGGAGUUCGAUUUCUAAAAGAAAAAAAACCCUAAUGUAACCAGUUUAAGGUUUUGGUUUACUACGUUGUUGUUGUACAACUUCGUCUUCCUCUUUACUAAUAUAUAUGACUGCUAUAUGAACAUAGGGAAUAGCUAUGGAUAAAUACAACACAAUCAGUGAGAUUGAUGAAAACAAAAGGUCAUGGAAGCUAAAAGGUAUGGUCAUACGUAUGUGGCCAACUUUUGAAGAAGAAAAAAUAACGGAAAAAAUUGUAAAGAAAGUUGUCGCACUGGAUAUCAUUGUAAUGGACGAAAAGGUAUGAUUGUUUUUACAUAUAUUCACCUCACCUAAACAAAUGCCUAACCAUUAUUUAAUAUCAGGGAGGUAACGCAAUCGAAAAGUCAUUAAAUUAUUGUUUUUUAACUAAUAACUUAUAUGUUUUUGGUUUAUUUCAAUUGGAAAUUCAGGGAAGAGAAAUUGAAGGUAACAUUAUGGGGAGAAAUGAAGGAUAUCUUUGACACUGAAAAACUGAAGACUAUGGUGAAUGAAAAACCAGUAGUAGUGAUAUCACUAGCAAAAGUUCGUAAAUUUCAGGGUAAUUACCUUAACUUUUUAAAUAUAUGAAAAUACUCUAUAUAUAAUAAUGAUUUUGUUAUCCUAUACAAAUAAAAAUUAUUUCAUAUUCUAUAAAACAGGAGCCCAGUUGUCCACUACAACCGGAACUAUGCUUUAUUUAAAUCCAGAUAUUCCAGAAGUUAUACAAAUGAAGAACAGGUAAAACUAUCUCACAAAUGUUUACAUACUCAACUUAAUAACAUGAUUUACUACUUAUAACCAAUUAUAAUCAGAUCCUUUAUGAUGUGUUUUACAUUGAUCAACCAAGUGAACAUCACGUUGAAAAUAGGAGAUUUUUCAAGAUUCAAAAAAGGCAACCUACUGGAUGUGCAAAAAUCUAUCAACCAAGAAACUCAUGAGGUACAUUUACUUCCCUUCAUUCUUAAGCAUAUUCAAAUUUCAUAUUAAUAUUUAUCUUGCAAAAAUCUAUUUUCAUAAAAAAAAUAAAUAUACAGGACUACAUCACAUGUUCAGCAAAAAUAGUUAAAGUUAAUGCAUCGCCAGAAUGGUACUACUUCGCUUGCAAAACUUGCAAGACAAAGGCGGAAGAAGUUCUCGAAGCAUAUCAAUGCUAUUGUGGAAUAAUUGAAGAAUCAAAUACAAUGCUACAGUAAGUAUAAAACCCUUUUUUUACUAAACACAAUGACAUAUAUCAUCUAAACAUGCAAUCUUAUGUGUGCUAAAUGUUUCAUUGUCAAAAAAUAUAUGUAUAAAAAAACAGGUAUAAGAUACAAAUCGAAAUAUCGGAUGGAAUAGGAAAUGCAAAAAUUACAGUUUUUGGUGAAAAAGCGAAAAAACUAAUGAAGGAUAAUACAGUAGCUGCAUUGCUAAGUAUGAAAGAAAAAGGAGAGGACAUCGUGAGAAACUACAUUCAAGCAAUCGAGAAUACUGAAGCAAUUUUUGACAUAAAGAUAACUGAAAAGAACAGGCAAUUUCCAAAAGGAUAUCUUACAUGCACAAACAUCUCAUUCGAAGGACAAGUAAAAGAAGGUACAACAAAAGACAACAUACAAAAGGUAAGACCUCAACCCACCCACACAAAAAAUCAAAUAUAUAUAUAUAGUCAAUAAGAUUAAAAUAUAAAAUUAUUUUUUUUUAUUAUUUAAUAUAUUGCAGGAAAACUUUGUCCCACCAACACCUAAGAAACACUCUCCUGAAGAAAUAGUCGACGUUGACAAACUUCCUCAAAAAGAUUAUACUAAGAAGAUAUGCAUUAAGCAAGAACCAGAGGUAAGAAUAUUCAGACAAAGAAAAACAAUAAACAAAAUUAUAAAUCAUAAAUUAAAUUUUACACCACUAAUUUCUCUUCAUUUUUAUAUGCAGGACUCGGACUAAAGGGGAAAAUGGAAUGCACCUAAGAAACAAGCUUUGCUACUAUAAUGUCGUUUCACAACUUUAUUUAGAUUUAUCACUCUAUUUUUGUUAAUCAGAUUUUUAUAUUGUUUACUGAUGAUUUAAUAAUGGAAUUGAUUUGAAUGUCUUCCUGCUAAUUUCCAUUAGUUAUUAAAGCAUAUGGAAGAAAAAAAAUUGGACUUAAAAAGGAACAAACUUAGAAAGAGCAAAGAAUGCUAUGAAAAAAAAAUAUUACAUAGAAAAGAGCAAAGAAAUAGUCUUUACCAUUUCAAUAGUUAUCUGGAUUUCUCCUCCAUUGUAAUAGCUCGAUCAUAAUGAAAUCAAAUGGAUUCAUUCUAAAUGUUGCUCCAAUUGUUGUUCAUAAAUUAUAAUGGAUUCAAGCAGCCAUGAUGAUGAUUGAAUGGAGAUGUGAUCGAGUUAAAUGCAGACUACUAUUAAUACCUAUAAUGGAUUCAUCCAUAAGCAUCCAUGACAAGUAACUAUUCAAAUUCAUCAAUCAAUUGAUCAAUUUCUGCCAAACCUAACCCUUGC
This 3418-nucleotide long non-coding RNA is filed under the name Aquilegia coerulea. Its description in RNAcentral is "long non-coding RNA (ACOE_LNC000218)". Lineage: Eukaryota; Viridiplantae; Streptophyta; Magnoliopsida; Ranunculales; Ranunculaceae. The record is from RNAcentral.